This 1362-nucleotide unclassified non-coding RNA is filed under the name uncultured Neocallimastigales. Its description in RNAcentral is "partial contains small subunit ribosomal RNA, internal transcribed spacer 1, 5.8S ribosomal RNA, internal transcribed spacer 2, and large subunit ribosomal RNA". The stretch from base 602 to 1362 matches the Rfam family "Eukaryotic large subunit ribosomal RNA", at positions 1 to 628 of the family's 3401-position model. The record is from RNAcentral. Lineage: Eukaryota; Fungi; Neocallimastigomycota; Neocallimastigomycetes; Neocallimastigales.
UUUCCGUAGGUGAACCUGCGGAAGGAUCAUUAAUAAAUGGUCUACGUUUAAGUAGACACUUAAUAAUCCUACCCUUUGUGAAUUUGUUGUUUUGAAAUAAUUUUUUUAAAAUUAUUGAUUGUCUUCCCUGUUGAAUAGAAUGUUUUCGAACAUGAAAUUCGCAGGGAGUGUCAGUAAUUUUAAAAGACUUUUUUAAAUUAAACUUUUGUAUUCAUUUGUCUAAAAUUAUUUUUAUAAUAUAAAACAACUUUUGACAAUGGAUCUCUUGGUUCUCGCAACGAUGAAGAACGCAGCAAAAUGCGAUAAGUAGCGUGAAUGCAGAAUACGUGAAUCAUCGAAUCUUCGAACGCAUAUUGCACUUUUUUAGUUUACUAAAAAGUAUGUCUGUUUGAGUAUCAGUAAAAUAUUCUCAUAAAAACUAUUGUUUUUAUGGUUAUGAGUGUUUUACAACGAUACAAGUUGUUUCACUUUAAUUUUUUAAAAUUUGAAUUUUUCUAAUUUUAAAAUAAAUUGGAUAAAAUUUUCCCGUAAAAGGAAUAACCUAAACAAUUUUAGUUUUUGAUUAGAAUUUUCAUUAUAAAGGAAAAUUUAAUAAAUAACUUGAUCUCAAAUCAGAUAAGAGUACCGCUGAACUUAAGCAUAUCAAUAAGCGGAGGAAAGAAACUAACAAGGAUUCCUUAGUAACGGCGAGUGAAGCGGGAAGAGCUCAAAUUUGAAAUCUUCAAGGUUUUACCUUGACGAAUUGUAGUUUAAAGAAGUGUUUUCUGUUGAAGUUUUGGUAAAAGUUCUUUGGAAUAGGACAUCAUAGAGGGUGAGAAUCCGUAUUUGACCAUUAUUUCAGCUGUGUGAUACACUUUCAAAGAGUCGGAUUGUUUGGGAAUGCAGUCCAAAUGGGUGGUAAAUUUCAUCUAAAGCUAAAUAUUGGCGAGAGACGAUAGCGAACAAGUACCGUGAGGAAAGAUGAAAGAACUUUGAAAAGAGAGUUAAACAGUACGUGAAAUUGUCAAAGGAAGCGUUUGACGCCAGUGUUGUUUUCUCGAAAAUCAAUUAAAAAGAGUUGGAUUUUGUGUUGUAUUGACCUUAACAGCUUGCUUCACUCUUUUCCUGCUUUUUUUAAUGCACUUUUCGUUUAACAAGUCAACAUCAGUUUCUUUUGUUGUAAAAGGUCAUUGGAAGGUGCUUUCUCUUCGGAGAAAGUGUUAUAGCUUUGAUCUCUGCAAUCGGAGAGACUGAGGUUGCAGCGUAGAUCCUUCGGGUUAGAUACAUUUGUGCUAAGCUACAGCUUUUCAUAGACAACUUGUUGACUAUGUUUAGUCUUGUAACUUACCCGCUUAUGCUAUUUUACCUACGCUUAGGAUGUUG